This 2893-nucleotide ribosomal RNA is filed under the name metagenome. Its description in RNAcentral is "bacterial LSU rRNA". The stretch from base 465 to 2779 matches the Rfam family "Bacterial large subunit ribosomal RNA". The record is from RNAcentral.
AAAUAGAUAUCGGAUCGUAGCCGAUUUAACCCGUAAAAGGAAAAGUUGCUAUAGGCAAGGCGAGAUAUUUGCUAAAUAUUGUGUAGUUACACUUAGAUGUUCGAAUCAUCUCUUUUCCGUAAGAUUCCUUAACUUAAUAGGUUAAAGUAUACUUUUGAUAAGAGUAGGAUUAGCGUUCAAUUCGCUAAGGAAUCAAUAAGAGUAUAAUUUAAGGGUAAAAUAUGGAGCUUCAACCUCCACCUUCUCAGUUCAAAUCUGAGUGCUCUUGAAUAAAAGAGAAUUGACUGAGUGGUUUAAGGUGGUAAGCUUGAGACUUAUUUGGUUUAAAAAAAUCACAUCCGUUCAAAUCGGAUAUUCUCUGAAAAAACAGGUUAGAGCCGGCUGGGUAGGCACCUCAUUUGGGUUGAGGAUUAGUUAUGUUCGAUUCAUAAUAACUUGAUAAAUAAUAAAAAUAUGUAAGAUAUAUAAAGUAUGUAAAGAAACUAUUAAGGAUAAUUAGCUAUAUAUUAAAGAUAGAUAGUUAUAAAUCUAAAAUCUAAGAUAAAUUAAUUAAAUAAACAAAGUGAACUGAAGUAUCUUAGUAACUUUAGGAAAAGAAAUCAAACGAGAUUUUAUUAAAAAUUCUUUUAAUAAAUAAGCUUAUAAGUAAAACGAAAAAAAUUUGUUUGAAAAAAGGGGAACCUUCCUCUAAAGCUAAAUAUAAUAUAUAAGCGAUAGUGAAAAAGUACCGUGAGGGAAAAUUUGAAUUAGUAGUUUUAUAAGCAGCUCGAAAAAAAGAGUGUACCUUUUGCAUAAUGGGUCAGCAAGUUAUGUUUAGAAGCGAGCAAUAAAAUAUUGCCCAGUUAAACCAAUUAUGAAAAAAUAAUAUAGUUUCUAAACAUAGACCCGAAAGCUAGUGAUCUUACCAUGGUCAGGGUAAUGAAGCCCGAACGAGUUAUCGUUGUAAAGAUAUUCGAUGAACUGUGGUAAGUUGGUGAAAGAUAAAACUGACUAGUAUAGCUGGUUUUCCGCGAAACCUAUUUAAGUAGGUAAUUUAACUAACAUCUUAGCAGGUACAGAACUGUGAUCUCUGGCAAAAAUUUAUUUUUGUAUAUAUCGGGGGAUCGUGUAGAUUUUAUCGGAGAGUAUUUGCACUCGGAAUGGCAAAGAUGAAUGUUGAAUAAUCAGACAUAGUGCGAUAAGGUUGUAUGUCUAAAGGGAAACAGCCCAGAACAAGAGUAAUAAGGUUCCAAAAUUAUUAUUGAGUGAAAUUAAGGAUGUUAUUAUCAAAUACAAUCAGGAAAUAGGCUUAGAAGCUGCCAUUUUUUGAAGAUCUCGUAACAGAGCACUGAUUAAAUAUUUUAGAUAUUAAUACCGAAAAUAUAACGGAUCUAAAUAAUAUACCGAAACCUUGUACGUAUAAUUAUACGGGGUAGCGGAACAUUGGAUAAAUCUUAGAUUUUAUCUUUUUUAAGUUAAAAAAAUAAUAGAUAAUCCAAGAGAGAAUGCUGACAUGAGUAACGAAAAAGGAAAAUUUUAUUUUCCUCGCCUUAAGCUUAUGGUUUAUUUUAAAUUUCGGUAUCUAAGUAUAUACCCCAAAGGGUCUAUAUGAUGAUAAUAAUAAUUAUUUUUUGUAAACAAAAUCUUUAUUUAGUGAUAAAGGUUCAGGAAAUUGUAACAAAAAUCUAAAAAAAAAAUAAUUAUAAACCGUACCUAAAUACUAUCGCAAGUAAGCAAGUAGAGUAUACAAAGGCGUUUGAGUGAACAAUCAUUAAGGAACUCGGCAAAUUAACUACCGUAACUUCGGGAUAAGGAGGACCAUUAUUAUAGAUACAUAAGUAUCAAAUAGUAAAAGGAAUCAUAAAAUAGUGUUGUACGACUGUUUAAUUAAAACAAAGCACUCUGCCAAGAUAGAAAUCUAAGUAUUGAGUGUGAUGUCUGCCCGAUGUCGGUAGGGUAACAGAUUUACUUAAUUAUUUAAUUAGGUUUUGAUGAACACCCCGAUUAAUGGCGGCCUUAUCUAUAAGGGUCCUAAGGUAGCGGAAUACCUUGGCCGUUAAAUGCGGUCUUUGCAUGAAUGACUUAACGAUACAACAGCUGUCUCGAUGAUUGGCUCAGUGAAAUUGAAUUAGCAGUGCAGAUGCUGCUUACCUCUAGAUAGACAAGAAGACCCUUUGCAGCUUUACUGUUACCUACUAUGAUAUAAUUUGAUAAUUUCCAGUGUAUAAGGUAAUAGUUAUGAAAUUGAAACACCUUUAUUUGUUCUAUUAUAUUCUUUAUGGUAGGAAGGCAGUUUAUGCGGGGCACAGAUCCCAUAAAAAGUACCUGGGUAUAUCCAAAGUUCAUAUUGUAAUUUUGUAGAUUUUUAUUUACAAAAAUUCAUUAAAUAUUUUUAUUUCUUGAAUUUUUUAUUUAAUUUGUAAUUAAUUAUUAUUAAUUAUCCAGUUAUUGUUUAUAUUAAGUUAGUUAUUAUUAAUUUUUUUUAAGUAAGAUUUUAACUAUAUGGUAAAUAGAUGUAAAUUAAAUAAUAAUAUAACUAUAUUAUUAUUUAGUCAUAUUAAUAGAGAAAUUUUACUUAUUAUUAUGAUGUUUUUUUUACUUUAAAAGUUUAAUGGCUUAAUCUUGCUUUACUGUUUGACUUACAAGUCUAUCAGUCGCGUAAGCGGGGCAUAUGAUCACAAGAUUCAUAAAGGAAAGGUCUUGGAUUUAUGAAAAAGUUACGCUAGGGAUUAUUUGUUAGUCCUCCAAUAUUUUAAAAUAUUGGUAAUAAUUUGGGUUAAUUUCAAAAAUAACUUAAUUUGUCUAAUCAUUAUUAAGUUUAUUUGAAGCGAAAUUUAUUUAAGCUUUAUAUAUAAAUAAAUACGUUCAACGACUAAAAGGUGAAUAAUGCUAAUAAUAAUCCUUUUUUAAGUAC